GACGAACGCUGGCGGCGUGCUUAACACAUGCAAGACGAACGGAGUGGCGAACGGGUGAGUCAGACGUGGGGGAUCUGCCUUGCACUGCGGGAUAAGCUUGGGUAACGGGGAAGAAUACCGGUUAGUGCAAGAUGAGCGCGCGGCCUAUCAGCUUGUUGGUGGGGUAAUGGGCUAGCAAGGCGUCGACGGGUAGCCGGCCUGAGAGGGGUUACGGCCACAUUGGGCCUGGGAUAGUGCCCAGACUCCUACGGGAGGCAGCAGUGGGGAAUAUUGCACAAUGGGCGGAAGUCUGAUGCAUCGACGCCGGGUUGGGGAUGAAGCCCUGAUCUUUGUAAAUUCCUAUCGACAGGCACGCGUUACCCACAUACGUCGUACCGCCUACCUACGUGCCAGCAGCCGCGGUAAUUC
RNAcentral lists this ribosomal RNA (408 nucleotides) under uncultured bacterium. RNAcentral's name for it is "partial 16S ribosomal RNA". It matches the Rfam family "Bacterial small subunit ribosomal RNA", at positions 28 to 526 of the family's 1533-position model. The record is from RNAcentral.